Bubalus bubalis (water buffalo) is the source of this 1699-nucleotide long non-coding RNA. RefSeq lists it as uncharacterized. The record is from RefSeq and is a predicted model, not a curated record. Lineage: Eukaryota; Metazoa; Chordata; Mammalia; Artiodactyla; Bovidae. The transcript has 4 exons.
AGUGAACAUUUAGCAUUGAUUUAAUAGUUUUGGGCAUUGAAAGUGAUGUCUUGGUAACUCAGUGCAUUCGUUUGAUGGGCAGUCACAACAAGAUACCACCCAAACUUAUUAACAGCAGAACUUUGAACAACAGAAAUUUAUUUUUUCACAGUUCUGGAGGCUAGAAGUCCAGGAUCGAGGUGUUAGCAGGGUGGGUUUAUUCUGAGGCCUCUCUCCUUGGUUUUUCUUGUGUUUCCACAUUGUUCUCCCUUCGUACCUGUUUAUAUCUCAAUUUCCUUUUUUUUAUAAGGACACUGGUCAUAAUGAAGUAGAGCCCAUCUACUCAUAAUGAUCUCAUUUCAAGUGCCUUUUUAAGGCCCUAUCUCCAAACACAAUCACAUUCUGAGGUACUUGGGGUUGGCAUUUUAACACAUAAAUUUGGAGGGGACAUAAUUCACCCUAUAACACUCAGAUACUUGUGUUUGGACCUAGCAUGAAGUUACCGACUAGUCAUUCCACACACCCACAUUUAUAUGCUUUCAAUACUUUCAUUGCUGUUUUCAGACGUGCUAAUCUUCCUUCUCGGAGAAGGCAAUGGAAACCCACUCCAGUGUUCUUGCCUGGAGAAUCCCAGGGACGGUGGAGCCUGGUGGGCUACCGUCUAUGGGGUCGCACAGAGUCGGACACGACGGAAGCGACUUAGAAGCAGCAGUCUUCCUUCUAGUUCUGAAAGCAUGUCCAACCCCUGCUCUCCUUGUUUCUUUUUUGUUUUCUUUUUUAAGUUUUACUCUUUAGAAGAUGUUUCUCUCUAUCUCUCUUUUUUUUCCCUAUGUAUUUCUUUGGUUGCUUCUGGUCUUCCUUGAAUCACUCAGGUUCUCUGUUGCUUCGCGCGGGAUCUCCGUUGCUUCGCGCGGGAUCUCCGUUGCUUCGCGCGGGAUCUCCGUUGCUUCGCGCGGGAUCUCCGUUGCUUCGCGCGGGAUCUCCGUUGCUUCGCGCGGGAUCUUUCCUUGUGGCACACAGGAUGUUUGGUGUGGCGUAGGGGCUCAGUAGUUUGUGGUGCGCAGACCCCAGAACACGUGGGCUUCAGUAGCUGCAGUAGGUGACUAUAUCUCUGAUAACUCCAAAGUCAUAGGAUUUAUCAUAGGGACCAUUGGAAUCGCACUUCCGACCAGGGAAGGAAGCGGUUUUUCCCUGCGUUGCAAGGCAUAUUAACCACUGGACCACCAGAAAAGUUCUUCUCCUCAGGUCUUUGCACUUGCCCUUGCCUGUUGCAGAUACUUGUUCAACUGCAGGUGUUCCUGAUAGUCUUUGGCUGGUCCAUUCUCUCGGUGAUUACUGUCUGUCUCCUCCAGGAGGGGAUAAACUAUUUGUGGAAAAGAAGCAACCCACUUAAAACAUCUGAGCCCCAAUUUAAAGAUCUUUUAGAUACUGGAAAAGCAGUGGUGGUGUUUGAACUCUGCUCUGGGAAGAUCCCACAUUCUACGAAGAAUCGAAGCCUGUGUGCCGCAGCUAUUGAGUCUGUGCUCUGGAGACCAGGAGCCUCAACUACUGAAGCCUGUGCACCACAGGGCCUGGGCUGGACAACAAGAAAGAAGCCCCGCACUGAGAAGAAUCACAACUGGAGAGUCGCCCCUCCUCAGCACAACUAGAGAAAAGCCCAAGCAGCAACAAAGACCCAGCAUAGUCAAAAAUAAAUAAACAAAGUCAUUUUUAAAAAGCA